GAUCAUGGCUCAGAACGAACGCUGGCGGCGCGUUUAAGCAUGCAAGUCGAGCGGCAAGGGCCUUCGGGCCCCUAGAGCGGCGGACGGGUGAGUAACACGUGGACAAUCUGCCCCCCGGCCAGGGAUAGCCCAGGGAAACCUGGAUUAAUACCGGAUGAGACGGGACCCGCGAUGGCGGGAUCCGGGAAAGGCGCUGCGGCGCCGCCGGGGGAUGAGUCUGCGUCCCAUUAGCUAGACGGCGGGGUAACGGCCCACCGUGGCGACGAUGGGUAGCCGGCCUGAGAGGGUGGACGGCCACAUUGGAACUGAGACACGGUCCAGACUCCUACGGGAGGCAGCAGCUAAGAAUCUUCCGCAAUGGGCGAAAGCCUGACGGAGCCGACGCCGCGUGAACGAAGAAGGCCGUGAGGUUGUAAAGUUCUUUUCGGGAGGGGGAACAACCGUGGCAGGGAAUGGCCGCGGGAUGACGUGAAUCCCGGAAUAAGCCCCGGCUAACUACGUGCCAGCCGCUGC
RNAcentral lists this ribosomal RNA (513 nucleotides) under uncultured bacterium. Its description in RNAcentral is "bacterial SSU rRNA". It matches the Rfam family "Bacterial small subunit ribosomal RNA", at positions 15 to 518 of the family's 1533-position model. The record is from RNAcentral.